Molecule: ribosomal RNA, 492 nt
Filed under: uncultured bacterium
Lineage: Bacteria
Description: partial 16S ribosomal RNA
Rfam family: Bacterial small subunit ribosomal RNA
Source: RNAcentral
AGUGAACGCUGACGGUAGGCCUAACACAUGCAAGUCGAACGGCAGCACAGUAAGAGCUUGCUCUUACGGGUGGCGAGUGGCGGACGGGUGAGGAAUACAUCGGAAUCUACUUUUUCGUGGGGGAUAACGUAGGGAAACUUACGCUAAUACCGCAUACGACCUACGGGUGAAAGCAGGGGAUCUUCGGACCUUGCGCGAUUGAAUGAGCCGAUGUCGGAUUAGCUAGUUGGCGGGGUAAAGGCCCACCAAGGCGACGAUCCGUAGCUGGUCUGAGAGGAUGAUCAGCCACACUGGAACUGAGACGCGGUCCAGACUCCUACGGGAGGCAGCAGUGGGGAAUAUUGGACAAUGGGCGCAAGCCUGAUCCAGCCAUACCGCGUGGGUGAAGAAGGCCUUCGGGUUGUAAAGCCCUUUUGUUGGGAAAGAAAAGCAGCAGGUUAAUACCCCGCUGUUCUGACGGUACCCAAAGAAUAAGCACCGGCUAACUUCGUG